Molecule: long non-coding RNA, 3521 nt
Organism: Monodelphis domestica (gray short-tailed opossum)
Lineage: Eukaryota; Metazoa; Chordata; Mammalia; Didelphimorphia; Didelphidae
Source: RefSeq, a predicted model, not a curated record
UACUUUAUAGCUGUGGGACCCUAGGCCAGUCACUUAACUCCCAUUGCCCAGCCCUUAUGCCUCUUCUGCCUUGGAAUCAAUGCAUGGUACGGAUUCUAUGCAGGUAAGGGUUAAAACAAAAUGAAAAGAAACUACUGCUCUGAUCCCCGCUCCGCUCCCCCAGCCCAGCAGUAAAGAAAGCAUCCGAGCCCCUGAGGGGGUACUUGGGGGAAGCAGGACACGCCAAGACUGGUAAGAGUUAGUGGAAGGGGAUGAUCUGUCUACCGGAGGGAGCAGAGGGGAGGAUGUUCGGCUCCAUCAGACACAGCCACUAUGUGUCGUCUUUGGGGCGAGACCUUCCCUCUCCCUGGGCCUCAGUUUUCCCAUCUGUAACAACAGGGGGCGGGGUUGAACUGCCUUAUGAGGCUUGGAGAGUCAGUCUGUGAUUCUGACAGUCUGGUGGACCUGGGCACGUAUCACCCCCUUGCGUUGGGCCUCAAGGGUAAAUAGGGGUGAAUUUAAAUUCAAAGAGAGGGAAGUGCCGGAGCCUGUUUCAAGCAAGCACUUGGUAAUGCCUGGCGGAAGUCCCGUUUGGUGACCCCGCCCCCGCGUUGAUGGCGGCGCCUUCAGCUCCUUCCUAUCCCGGAUGUUGGUAAUAGCUGUCCUGACGUUACGUGCGCUCGCCCGCCGCUAGGCCAGCCUGGAGAUGUCUUUUAUCUUCAGCGCAGAAGUUGCAGACUUGGAGAUGGCUCUGGCUUUUCUUAGUGGAGGUGGUGCAGGUAAAGGACUGGUACCCAAUCUACCGCCCCCGCUGUACUCACGUGACUCCUGCCCUCCAAUCUGAGCUCAGAGGCCCUACAUGUCUUUCAUCUCGUUACCCUGGACAUCCCUCUCUUGCCUCAAUUACCCUCUUUAAAACGAAGCGAACCUUAGGCCCAGGCUGUGCCUCCCCGCCGAGGGAAUCUACCGACCUUCUCCUCUCCCCAUUAGUAAGCCUCCCUUUCUCCUGUAGAUACACCAUCCAAACUUGAUGGGGACUUCACGCCUGCCUGUGAACUGAUUGCUAACUCUGGGGCAUAAGGGAUGCGGACUGCCACACGUUACUGUAUACUUUCGAUUUACAUCCAUCCACAGUUCCCCAAGAGGACGGAAACUCCGUGUCUUUGUAUGCCAGGCCCCAAUCCUCUGAAGGCUUGUUUUUAUUUUUUAAACCUUUACCCCUAAAGACUAGGCAAUGGGGUUCAAGUGACUUGCCCAGGGUCACACAGGACAGUUUGAGGCUGAACCCGAGCUCGGAUCUCCUGACUCCAGGCCUGACUCCUUAUCCACUGAGCCAUCCAGCUGCCUCUAAUAGCUUUACUGAAUGGUUGAAUCCUCAAAAUGAGUGUUCAGUUACUUGAAGAAUGAACACAUGAAGCAUUUUAUUAAAUGUUGCCCGUUUUAUGUGCAAAGUACCAAGAGAAGAGUAAGCAGUCCCAGAAGAGCAUCCCCACCUCAUUUGGACCCCAGCUACUUUGCAGAUACUAGAAGGUCCCUGUUUUGGAGGCAGCAGUGGAUGGGGCACCAGGCCUCAAGCGGGGAAGACCUGGGCUCCAGGCUGCCUUCCUUCGCUUCCCAGCUGUGGCAAGUCCCCCAACUGACCAGCCCUUGCUUGCUGUCUUCUUAGAACUGAUUCUAGGUCAGAAGGUGAGGAAGUUGGAGCUCCGUGAUGUCUAAACAACACACGCUAAUAAAGGUGUCAGGGAGAGAACCAGGAUUUGAACCCGACUCUUCUAGCUGCUCUUGGCGCCAGGCUGCAGAAUAUAGAAUGUCAGACCCAGGAGGGCCCUUCCGGGUCAUCGAGUCCAGCCCUCUCAUUGGGAGAAUCGAGAGUUGGUGGAGAAAGAUGAAAGAGAGAGAAGGCAGAUCUCUGUUCGAAAAAAACAACAAUCAACCAACAAAAGAAGGUUAAGUUCCUUGAGGCCAUCAACCUUAUUUUUACCUUUCUUUGAAUUUCUAGGAAUUUGUGUGUGUCACAUGUGUCAUACAUAGUAAGCUCCUAGGAAAUGUAUAUGAUGAAUCUUUUUUUGGGGGGGGGUUGCUGGGGGGGGGGGGGCAACCAUUUAUCAUUGUCUUUGCAUUUCCAGUACCUAACAUAGUACUUUGAAUGUAGUAAGCUCAACCUGUGUCAAAGCUAGAUCUCCUAACUCCAAGAAUAGCUUUUUAUUAUAAAUUACAUGGCCUGGUUUGAGAACAAUUUCUGUGACCAAUAAAUAAGGAUCAAUAAGGAACUGGAUUAAAGGAAGGGAUUAAUUCACCGAUAUACACUUUACUUAUUUUAGACAUAUGUAAUUUGAAUCUGUUACCCUAAAAACUACUCUCCCCAGCAAAAUUAUGAUUCCCAGGAACCUAAUCUUUUCCUGUCGUUAUGGGUUGGUGUAGACAGGAGAUAAAUUUGGUGGAUUUCCCUCUUUUGGCUCUUUUUCCUUUCUGUGGCAGCUUUGGUGGAGAGGGGAUUUUUUGAGCAGGUAGAAAACUUAGUCACAUGGUUCUAUUUAAGUCAGAUAAUAAACUUUAUAAAUAUAAUACUUGAAGUAUUGGAUAUUCAAAUUUAAAUCCUACAGGUACAUUAAAAUCUCCAAUAAUGACAUUGCAACUAUUGAAAAACCUGAAUAGAGUACUUAAUUUCUUCCUUGCCUAGGAAAAAUAAGCAUUUUAAUUAAAAAAAACAAAACCUUCUCAUUAAUAAUUAGAGAAAUGCAAAUUAAAACAACCCUGAAGUUCUACUGGAUUGGCUAAGAUAACAAAAAAGGAAAAUGACAACUACUAGAGGAGAUAGGAGAAAACAGGUACAGUGAGGCACUACUGAACCUAUGAACUUAGUUCUGUCAUUCUAGAAAGAAAUUUAGAACUGUACCCCACAGAGUAAACUAGCAAUACCAUUGUUAGGUUCCUACCUAAUUAGAUGGCCCAAUGGGCAGAUUGUGGUCCUGGAGUAAGGAAGACUGAAUUAAUAUAUGACUUCACAUUUUUCAUAACUAUAUGACCCUGGUAAAGUCACUGAAUCACUAGCUGCUUCCAGGUUCUUCAAUCGAAAAACUGGGAUAAUAAUAAUAGUGACUAUUGGGGGCAGCUGGGUGGCUCAGUGGAUAGAAAGCCAAGUCUAGAGAUGGGAGGUCUUGGGUUCAAAAGGGACCUCAGACCCUUUCUUCGCUGUGUGCCUGAGCAAGUUACUUACCUCCCAUUGCCUAGCCCUUACUGCUGUUGUCCCUUGAAAUGAAUACGAAGCAUUGAUUCUAAGACAAGGUGAGGGUUUAAAAAUAACUCAGAUGUUUUUUAAUAAUCAUUGAGAACAAUGACCAAUAAUGAUUCCAGAGGACCAGUGAUAACGAAUGUUACUUACCUUCUGACACACUGAGGGAUUAAUGUGCAAAAUAGAAAACACAUUAUUGGACAAAGCCAUUAUGGGAAUUUGUUUUGCUUGACUACAUUUAUUUUUACAAGGGUUGUUCUCCCUGUGGUAGGGAGAAAGAAAUAAAUAUUUGAUGAUUGAAAAAAUAAAA